RNAcentral lists this transfer RNA (86 nucleotides) under Microlunatus soli. RNAcentral describes it as "tRNA_Leu_TAG". It matches the Rfam family "tRNA". Rfam says of the family: Transfer RNA (tRNA) molecules are approximately 80 nucleotides in length. Their secondary structure includes four short double-helical elements and three loops (D, anti-codon, and T loops). Further hydrogen bonds mediate the characteristic L-shaped molecular structure. tRNAs have two regions of fundamental functional importance: the anti-codon, which is responsible for specific mRNA codon recognition, and the 3' end, to which the tRNAs corresponding amino acid is attached (by aminoacyl-tRNA synthetases). tRNAs cope with the degeneracy of the genetic code in two manners: having more than one tRNA (with a specific anti-codon) for a particular amino acid; and 'wobble' base-pairing, i.e. permitting non-standard base-pairing at the 3rd anti-codon position. The record is from RNAcentral. Lineage: Bacteria; Bacillati; Actinomycetota; Actinomycetes; Propionibacteriales; Propionibacteriaceae.
GCGCGAGUGGCGGAAUCAGGUAGACGCGCCAGAUUUAGGUUCUGGUGUCUUCGGACGUGGGGGUUCAAUUCCCCCCUCGCGCACCG